RNAcentral lists this long non-coding RNA (504 nucleotides) under Actinia tenebrosa (Australian red waratah sea anemone). RNAcentral describes it as "uncharacterized LOC116306473, transcript variant X1". The record is from RNAcentral. Lineage: Eukaryota; Metazoa; Cnidaria; Anthozoa; Actiniaria; Actiniidae.
AACAUCGGGAGAAACAUCGGCAACAGCAACGUCAGAAGUGCCUUCAUCUGGUGACAGUCCAAAAGUACUUCGAAUUCGUCAAAUAUUCUUCAAAUAUUUCCAGAAGUAGUACAACCUCGACUGGAGAAACUAUAAUUCUUGAUAGUGAUAAUAUUUAGAAUGGUACAAACCUUCUAGCAGAUGUAUCAGCCAAAGCAAAAAAACCUAAACUUUACACAACUAGUUUGUUGUCAGUACUGUUUACCGACGAAGAAAUGUGUCUUAGAUGUGUGGAACCUAAGGAAGGGGCCACAAGAAAAACAGCUCUUGACCAGAGCAAGAUCAACUUAUUAAAGAGGUGUAUCAAAGCAAAGUACGGAGAAAAGGUCCUGGACAAAGGAUGGUCAGACAUUUGUAUCAGCCUUAAUCAGAAAAAAAUUAGAAAAAAUUCAGAAAAAUUAAUGUGUGCGUUCAUAAUGUCAAAGAAAAUAUUGAGUAAAUUUGUCAUGUUUCUGCAUGUUUCAA